Long non-coding RNA from Drosophila busckii, 831 nucleotides. RefSeq lists it as uncharacterized. Lineage: Eukaryota; Metazoa; Arthropoda; Insecta; Diptera; Drosophilidae. The record is from RefSeq and is a predicted model, not a curated record. The transcript has 2 exons.
AACUAAAAUUAUUUAAAAUUAGCUUUAUGCUUGCCUAAAAUAUUUGAGAAAUUACAGUUUACAACAACCUUUUAACUUCGAAUAAAGCACAAAUCUCAAUAUGGUAUACAAACUAUUUUUUUUGCUGAUGUUGCCGUUUUGUUGGAUUAGUUGUGUUCAAUCAUUCUAUAAUUGCUUUUCAGCACCUAUGGUUCCAAUUCCUGAUGAUGCACCUAGUUUGAGUGGCAUGUGGUAUUAUGUGGGGAGAGGAUCUUUUGAAGAUAACAUCACAUGCCUCAAUGCCUCAGUGUCGCUGAAGAGCACACAAGAUCAACUUGAUUUUGGAAUUUCAUUUUACAAGAAGGAAGACAAAACGUAUAAAAGUAAAUCUGAUUAUAAAUUCAUUGGGUGGAAUAAUAUUACACGCCUUGGAGGUGCGACUCUGGUUUUUAAUCGCUUCACUUUUGAUAUGAGGGUAUUAGCAUUAGAGCCACAAAAUAUGGUAAUGUUAUGCAUGGGGAUCAAUACAGCAUCGUCCUACAUCAUAAUGUCACGAGACCGAGAGAUUAGUGACUCAACAAAAGGUGAACUUUCGAAUGCCGCAAGACGAAUUGGAAUUCCUGAGGAUAUUCAAUGGAUUGAGCAAAGAGCAGAUUACUGCACUGGUAAAUCUCAACGCUUAAGAAUAACUUAUGGAGUCUAUGCAAUUACCGUAUUUAUCACUCUUUGGAUAUUUGUUUAGUUUCAGACAGCACACAAAUUUAGAUCAACAAAAAAAAAGUUGGAGUAGCUUUUGUGCUUGCAAACUCUUUAAAAUAAUAUUAAAUACACUUAGUAAGUUCGUCAACUCAA